Molecule: ribosomal RNA, 465 nt
Filed under: Vreelandella stevensii
Lineage: Bacteria; Pseudomonadati; Pseudomonadota; Gammaproteobacteria; Oceanospirillales; Halomonadaceae
Description: partial 16S ribosomal RNA
Rfam family: Bacterial small subunit ribosomal RNA
Source: RNAcentral
CCUACGGUGUGCAGCAGUGGGGAAUAUUGGACAAUGGGCGAAAGCCUGAUCCAGCCAUGCCGCGUGUGUGAAGAAGGCCUUCGGGUUGUAAAGCACUUUCAGUGGGGAAGAAAGCCUUGGGGCUAAUACCCUCGAGGAAGGACAUCACCCACAGAAGAAGCACCGGCUAACUCCGUGCCAGCAGCCGCGGUAAUACGGAGGGUGUGAGCGUUAAUCGGAAUUACUGGGCGUAAAGCGCGCGUAGGCGGUCUGAUAAGCCGGUUGUGAAAGCCCCGGGCUCAACCUGGGAACGGCAUCCGGAACUGUCAGGCUAGAGUGCAGGAGAGGAAGGUAGAAUUCCCGGUGUAGCGGUGAAAUGCGUAGAGAUCGGGAGGAAUACCAGUGGCGAAGGCGGCCUUCUGGACUGACACUGACGCUGAGGUGCGAAAGCGUGGGUAGCAAACAGGAUUAGAUACCCUAGUAGUC